Molecule: transfer RNA, 75 nt
Filed under: Clostridia bacterium
Lineage: Bacteria; Bacillati; Bacillota; Clostridia
Description: tRNA-Glu
Rfam family: tRNA
About the family: Transfer RNA (tRNA) molecules are approximately 80 nucleotides in length. Their secondary structure includes four short double-helical elements and three loops (D, anti-codon, and T loops).
Source: RNAcentral
GCUCCCAUCGUCUAGUGGUUAGGACACAAGAUUUUCAUUCUUGUAACAUCAGUUCAAAUCUGGUUAGGAGUACCA